AUUGAACGCUGGCGACAUGCCUUACACAUGCAAGUCGAACGGUAACGGGCCUUCGGGUGCCGACGAGUGGCGAACGGGUGAGUAAUACAUCGGAACGUGCCCGAUCGUGGGGGAUAACGAGGCGAAAGCUUUGCUAAUACCGCAUACGAUCUACGGAUGAAAGCAAGGGACCGCAAGGCCUUGCGCGGACGGAGCGGCCGAUGGCAGAUUAGGUAGUUGGUGGGAUAAAAGCUUACCAAGCCGACGAACUGUAGCUGGUCUGAGAGGAUGAUCAGCCACACUGGGACUGAGACACGGCCCAGACUCCUACGGGAGGCAGCAGUGGGGAAUUUUGGACAAUGGGCGCAAGCCUGAUCCAGCCAUGCCGCGUGCAGGAUGAAGGCCUUCGGGUUGUAAACUGCUUUUGUACGGAACGAAAAGCCUUCUUCUAAUACAGGAGGGUCAUGACGGUACCGUAAGAAUAAGCACCGGCUAACUACGUGCCAGCCGCCGCUGUAA
RNAcentral lists this ribosomal RNA (498 nucleotides) under uncultured bacterium. RNAcentral's name for it is "partial 16S ribosomal RNA". It matches the Rfam family "Bacterial small subunit ribosomal RNA", at positions 30 to 523 of the family's 1533-position model. The record is from RNAcentral.